GAUCAUUACUGAGUUUUGGGUGUUCUCUUUUGACGCCCGAUCUCCCACCCUUUGUUUAACUACAAUUGUUGCUUUGGCAGGACUGUUUUCUUCUCUUCGGGGGAGGGACUGCCGGAGGUUGGGUUUCCGACCUCUGGAUUGUUUGCCUGCCAGUAGCCAACUUCAAAUUCUUUUUUAAUUAUGUCGUCUGAAUUCUUUAAAUAAAUUUUAUUUAAAACUUUCAACAACGGAUCUCUUGGUUCUGGCAUCGAUGAAGAACGCAGCGAAAUGCGAUAAGUAAUGUGAAUUGCAGAAUUCAGUGAAUCAUCGAAUCUUUGAACGCACAUUGCGCCCUUUGGUAUUCCGAAGGGCAUGCCUAUUCGAGCGUCAUUAUCAACCCUCAAGCCUGGCUUGUUAUUGGGUCUUGUAUCAAUUUUCGGAUUGAUAGGCCUGAAAGAUAAUGGCGGUGUCACUAAAUGACUCCUGGUGCAGCGAGCUUUUUAACUAGCAUACACUGGACAGUCUUUAAUGAAACCUCGCCUGAAAAUUCUUUUAUUUUCUUCAAGGUUGACCUCGGAUUAGGUAGGAAUACCCGCUGAACUUAAGCAUAUCAAUAAGCGGAGGAAAAGAAACCAACAGGGAUUGCCUUAGUAACGGCGAGUGAAGCGGCAAUAGCUCAAAUUUGAAAUCUGGCUCUUUCAGAGUCCGAAUUGUAAUUUGUAGAGGAUGUUUCGGACAAGGUUGCGGUUUAAAUUCCUUGGAACAGGAUGUCAUAGAGGGUGAGAAUCCCGUCUUGAAUCGUAUACUGCGUCUAUGUGAAACUCCUUCGACGAGUCGAGUUGUUUGGGAAUGCAGCUCAAAAUGGGAGGUAAAUUUCUUCUAAAGCUAAAUAUUGGCCAGAGACCGAUAGCGCACAAGUAGAGUGAUCGAAAGAUGAAAAGCACUUUGAAAAGAGAGUUAAACAGUAUGUGAAAUUGUUGAAAGGGAAGCGCUUACAACCAGACUUGUGAAUUGCAGUUCUACCUGGGUUUUCCCAGGCUUAUUCUGUUUUUCCAGGCCAGCAUCAGUUUGGGUGGUUAGUUAAAGGCUUAGGGAAUGUAUCUACUCUUCGGGGUCGACUUAUAGCCCUAGGUGUCAUGUAACCUACCUGGACUGAGGAACGCGCA
Molecule: ribosomal RNA, 1145 nt
Filed under: Eurotiomycetes sp. genotype 801 JMUR-2016
Lineage: Eukaryota; Fungi; Ascomycota; Eurotiomycetes
Description: eukaryotic LSU rRNA
Rfam family: Eukaryotic large subunit ribosomal RNA (bases 548-1145)
Source: RNAcentral